RNAcentral lists this ribosomal RNA (253 nucleotides) under uncultured bacterium. RNAcentral's name for it is "partial 16S ribosomal RNA". It matches the Rfam family "Bacterial small subunit ribosomal RNA", at positions 524 to 776 of the family's 1533-position model. The record is from RNAcentral.
UACGUAGGGGGCAAGCGUUGUCCGGAUUUACUGGGCGUAAAGCGCCUGUAGGCGGCCUGUCAAGUCCGGCCUGAAAGCCCCCGGCUCAACCGGGGAGGGUGGCUGGAAACUGGCAGGCUUGAGGGCGAGAGAGGAGGGUGGAAUUCCUGGUGUAGCGGUGAAAUGCGCAGAUAUCAGGAAGAACACCCGUGGCUAAGGCGGCUCUCUAGUACGGUACUGACGCUGAGACGCGAAAGCGUGGGGAGCGAACAGG